GGGGGCGACUGGUUUCGACAGGGUAGGUCUGAGAUGGGAAGCAAGCCGUGGUCUCCUCGCCACGUAAAACAGGGGUACCGUCAAAUUUAAUUGACAACACUGAUUCUUAUGAGCCUCUGGCUCUUGCUGCUUAGUUAAUCUAACCAGCACGUCAAUCCUCCGGUUUCCUCCGCCGGUGGUGCGGCGUCAUCCUAGGGGGAUGCACGACGGGACGUAGUCGGUAUGCCCGUCGCAAAGAUCGAACCGGCUAGGACGCCGAACGCGGGUCGCCAGGCGCGACGCGUCCGAACCUCAAUUGGCGACUGAGCUUGGAGAAACCUGUCAGGGAGCUAUUUUGGACCGGAGUUCGAUUCUCCGCGCCUCCACCA
Molecule: transfer-messenger RNA, 368 nt
Filed under: Atopobiaceae
Lineage: Bacteria; Bacillati; Actinomycetota; Coriobacteriia; Coriobacteriales
Also listed under: 1 other name
Description: UBA7741 sp900314495 Standard tmRNA
Rfam family: transfer-messenger RNA
About the family: Bacterial tmRNA, also known as 10Sa RNA or SsrA, is named for its dual tRNA and mRNA-like properties. Its role is to liberate the mRNA from a stalled ribosome. To accomplish this part of the tmRNA is used as a reading frame that ends in a translation stop signal.
Source: RNAcentral